AUACGGAGGAUCCGAGCGUUAUCCGGAUUUAUUGGGUUUAAAGGGAGCGUAGGCGGACGCUUAAGUCAGUUGUGAAAGUUUGCGGCUCAACCGUAAAAUUGCAGUUGAUACUGGGUGUCUUGAGUACAGUAGAGGCAGGCGGGAUUCGUGGUGUAGCGGUGAAAUGCUUAGAUAUCACGAAGAACUCCGAUUGCGAAGGCAGCCUGCUGGACUGUAACUGACGCUGAUGCUCGAAAGUGUGGGUAUCAAACAGGAUUAGAUACCCUGGUAGUCCACACAGUAAACGAUGAAUACUCGCUGUUUGCGAUAUACAGUAAGCGGCCAAUCGAAAGCAUUAAGUAUUCCACCUGGGGAGUACGCCGGCAACGGUGAAACUCAAAUGAAUUGACGGGG
This 393-nucleotide ribosomal RNA is filed under the name uncultured bacterium. RNAcentral describes it as "partial 16S ribosomal RNA". It matches the Rfam family "Bacterial small subunit ribosomal RNA", at positions 523 to 918 of the family's 1533-position model. The record is from RNAcentral.